CCUACGGGAGGCAGCAGUGAGGAAUAUUGGUCAAUGGGCGCGAGCCUGAACCAGCCAAGUCGCGUGAGGGAAGACGGUCCUAUGGAUUGUCAACCUCUUUUGUCGGGGAGCAAAAGACGCCACGCGUGGCGUUACGAGAGUACCCGAAGAAAAAGUAUCGGCUCACUCCGUGACAGCAGCCGCGGUAAUACGGAGGAUGCGAGAGUUGUCCGGAUUUAUUGGGUUUAAAGGGUGCGCAGGCGGAAGAUCAAGUCAGCGGUAAAAUUGAGAGGCUCAACCUCUUCGAGCCGUUGAAACUGGUUUUAUUGAGUGAGUGAGAAGGAUGCGGAAUGCGUGGUGUAGCGGUGAAAUGCAUAGAUAGCACGCAGAACUCCGAUUGCGAAGGCAGCAUACCGGCGCUCAACUGACGCUCAUGCACGAAAGUGUGGGUAUCGAACAGGAUUAGAUACCCCUGUAGUC
This 459-nucleotide ribosomal RNA is filed under the name uncultured bacterium. RNAcentral's name for it is "partial 16S ribosomal RNA". It matches the Rfam family "Bacterial small subunit ribosomal RNA", at positions 338 to 795 of the family's 1533-position model. The record is from RNAcentral.